ACGAGCACUUGAUUCUUCGGAUGAAGGUGCUGAGUGGCGGACGGGUGAGUAACGCGUGGGUACCUGCCUCAUACAGGGGGAUAACAGUUAGAAAUGACUGCUAAUACCGCAUAAGGCCGCAUGGCAAAAACUCCGGUGGUAUGAGAUGGACCCGCGUCUGAUUAGGUAGUUGGUGGGGUAACGGCCUACCAAGCCAACGAUCAGUAGCCGACCUGAGAGGGUGACCGGCCACAUUGGGACUGAGACACGGCCCAAACUCCUACGGGAGGCAGCAGUGGGGAAUAUUGCACAAUGGGGGAAACCCUGAUGCAGCGACGCCGCGUGAGCGAAGAAGUAUUUCGGUAUGUAAAGCUCUAUCAGCAGGGAAGAAAAUGACGGUACCUGACUAAGAAGCACCGGCUAAAUACGUGCCAGCAGCCGCGGUAAUACGUAUGGUGCAAGCGUUAUCCGGAUUUACUGGGUGUAAAGGGAGCGUAGACGGCUGUGUAAGUCUGAAGUGAAAGCCCGGGGCUCAACCCCGGGACUGCUUUGGAAACUAUGCAGCUAGAGUGUCGGAGAGGUAAGUGGAAUUCCCAGUUAGCGGUGAAAUGCGUAGAUAUUGGGAGGAACACCAGUGGCGAAGGCGGCUUACUGGACGAUGACUGACGUUGAGGCUCGAAAGCGUGGGGAGCAAACAGGAUUAGAUACCCUGGUAGUCCACGCCGUAAACGAUGACUACUAGGUGUCGGGGAGAAACUCUUCGGUGCCGCAGCAAACGCAAUAAGUAGUCCACCUGGGGAGUACGUUCGCA
Molecule: ribosomal RNA, 790 nt
Filed under: uncultured bacterium
Lineage: Bacteria
Description: bacterial SSU rRNA
Rfam family: Bacterial small subunit ribosomal RNA
Source: RNAcentral